Molecule: non-coding RNA, 148 nt
Filed under: Gorilla gorilla gorilla (western lowland gorilla)
Lineage: Eukaryota; Metazoa; Chordata; Mammalia; Primates; Hominidae
Source: Rfam by way of RNAcentral
GCCGGGUGUGGUGGCGCACGCCUGUAAUCCCAGCUACUCGGGAGGCUGAGGCAGGAGAAUUGCUUGAACCCGGGAGGCAGAGGUUGCAGUGAGCCAAGAUUGCACUACUGCACUCCAGCCUGGGCGACAGAGUGAGACUCUGCCUCAA